Molecule: non-coding RNA, 46 nt
Filed under: Haptolina ericina
Lineage: Eukaryota; Haptophyta; Prymnesiales; Prymnesiaceae
Source: RNAcentral
UGGCGCAGGGUGCAUGGCGCUCUGGAAUCUCGCCGACGAUAUCGAG